This 525-nucleotide ribosomal RNA is filed under the name Triticum aestivum (bread wheat). RNAcentral describes it as "partial small subunit ribosomal RNA". The record is from RNAcentral. Lineage: Eukaryota; Viridiplantae; Streptophyta; Magnoliopsida; Poales; Poaceae.
UUUUCUAGCAUUUGGCGUUCCCGAGUCCCACCGAAAAUCAAAAUUUUCCUCUGGCAAGCCUUCAGAGGCCGUCUCCCCACGGCUGACCAAAUUUGUAAGAGAAACGGGCCGGGCUCGGAGUUUUGUGCUCUCAGUGGUGCCUUGGAGGACACAAAUCAUAUCUUCUUCCAUUGCGUGCUUGCUAAGCUGGUUUGGAGCUGUGUCAGAUCCUGGCUCCAGGUUACCUGGAAUCCCUCCUCCUUUCUUGAGCUGAGAGACCUCGCCAACUCGCUGGCUGGGGUGACUAAGAGGGUCUUCUGGGUUGGCCUGGGUGUGAUAUGUUGGUCGCCGUGGACUACUAGGAACAAAUUUACGAUCAAACAAUUCUUUCCUACUAAAGCUGUUGAUUGUCUACUUAAAUCAUGUAUGUUCUUGCAGGAGUGGAGGUCAUUGACUAAGGAGGACGACCGGGGCGCGCUGGACAUGCUCAUUUCAAAAAUUCGGGCCUCGGCGUUGUCUCUUAUUGGGCAGGAACCUGGUGUCUGA